CCUACGGGUGGCAGCAGUGAGGAAUAUUGGUCAAUGGACGCAAGUCUGAACCAGCCAUGUCGCGUGCAGGAUGACGGCCCUACGAGUUGUAAACUGCUUUUGUACGGGGGUAAACGCAGAUACGCGUAUCUGUCUGUAAGUACCGUAUGAAUAAGGAUCGGCUAACUCCGUGCCAGCAGCCGCGGUAAUACGGAGGAUUCAAGCGUUAUCCGGAUUUAUUGGGUUUAAAGGGUGCGUAGGUGGUCGGAUAAGUUAGAGGUGAAAUCCCGAGGCUCAACUUCGGAAUUGCCUUUGAUACUGGUCGGCUAGAGAGUAGUUGCGGUAGGCGGAAUGUGUGGUGUAGCGGUGAAAUGCUUAGAGAUCAUACAGAACACCGAUUGCGAAGGCAGCUUACCAAGCUACUUCUGACAUUGAGGCACGAAAGCGUGGGGAGCAAACAGGAUUAGAUACCCUGGUAGUC
This 460-nucleotide ribosomal RNA is filed under the name uncultured bacterium. RNAcentral's name for it is "partial 16S ribosomal RNA". It matches the Rfam family "Bacterial small subunit ribosomal RNA", at positions 338 to 795 of the family's 1533-position model. The record is from RNAcentral.